ACCAAUAUUAUUGUGCUGCUUUA
RNAcentral lists this non-coding RNA (23 nucleotides) under Echinops telfairi (small Madagascar hedgehog). RNAcentral also lists the same sequence under 9 other names. The record is from RNAcentral. Lineage: Eukaryota; Metazoa; Chordata; Mammalia; Afrosoricida; Tenrecidae.